GUAAUAGAGGCGCGGGCUUCAUCAGUAGCCGGAGAGCGACACGGGGAUGUCGCCGGCGAAAGGGGAUCCCGCCGAAGCGGAUGCGUCCCCCGAGCGCUCCUGCUGGGAUAACGCAAAAGAUGCGUUAUACUGUCGUUACACGGUAACGGAGUGCUAUUC
This 159-nucleotide non-coding RNA is filed under the name uncultured Ruminococcus sp. RNAcentral describes it as "Lysine riboswitch". It matches the Rfam family "Lysine riboswitch aptamer". From Rfam's summary of the family: Riboswitches are metabolite binding domains within certain messenger RNAs that serve as precision sensors for their corresponding targets. Lineage: Bacteria; Bacillati; Bacillota; Clostridia; Eubacteriales; Oscillospiraceae. The record is from RNAcentral.